RNAcentral lists this ribosomal RNA (253 nucleotides) under uncultured bacterium. RNAcentral's name for it is "partial 16S ribosomal RNA". It matches the Rfam family "Bacterial small subunit ribosomal RNA", at positions 524 to 776 of the family's 1533-position model. The record is from RNAcentral.
UACGGAGGGUGCAAGCGUUAUCCGGAUUCACUGGGUUUAAAGGGUGCGUAGGCGGGCAGAUAAGUCAGUGGUGAAAUCUCCGAGCUUAACUCGGAAACUGCCGUUGAUACUAUUUGUCUUGAAUACUGUGGAGGUAAGCGGAAUAUGUCAUGUAGCGGUGAAAUGCUUAGAUAUGACAUAGAACACCAAUUGCGAAGGCAGCUUACUACACAGCGAUUGACGCUGAGGCACGAAAGCGUGGGGAUCAAACAGG